Molecule: ribosomal RNA, 435 nt
Filed under: uncultured Roseburia sp.
Lineage: Bacteria; Bacillati; Bacillota; Clostridia; Lachnospirales; Lachnospiraceae
Description: bacterial SSU rRNA
Rfam family: Bacterial small subunit ribosomal RNA
Source: RNAcentral
ACGGGAGGCAGCAGUGGGGAAUAUUGCACAAUGGGGGAAACCCUGAUGCAGCGACGCCGCGUGAGCGAAGAAGUAUUUCGGUAUGUAAAGCUCUAUCAGCAGGGAAGAAAAAUGACGGUACCUGACUAAGAAGCACCGGCUAAAUACGUGCCAGCAGCCGCGGUAAUACGAAUGGUGCAAGCGUUAUCCGGAUUUACUGGGUGCAAAGGGAGCGCAGGCGGUGCGGCAAGUCUGAUGUGGAAGCCCGGGGCUCAACCCCGGUACUGCAUUGGAAACUGUCGUACUAGAGUGUCGGAGGGGUAAGUGGAAUUCCUAGUGUAGCGGUGAAAUGCGUAGAUAUUAGGAGGAACACCAGUGGCGAAGGCGGCUUACUGGACGAUAACUGACGCUGAGGCUCGAAAGCGUGGGGAGCAAACAGGAUUAGAUACCCUGGUA